UGACGCCGCGUGUGGGAUGACGCCUUUCGGGGUGUAAACCACUUUUCUUCGGGACGAGGCAAGGAACGGUACCGGAGGAAGAAGACCUCCGGCUAACUACGUGC
RNAcentral lists this ribosomal RNA (104 nucleotides) under uncultured bacterium. RNAcentral's name for it is "partial 16S ribosomal RNA". It matches the Rfam family "Bacterial small subunit ribosomal RNA", at positions 392 to 508 of the family's 1533-position model. The record is from RNAcentral.